This 73-nucleotide non-coding RNA is filed under the name uncultured Alteromonas sp. RNAcentral describes it as "Cyclic di-GMP-I riboswitch". It matches the Rfam family "c-di-GMP-I riboswitch aptamer", at positions 8 to 83 of the family's 87-position model. From Rfam's summary of the family: GEMM was predicted in a large-scale screen for bacterial structured RNA regulatory elements. Genes associated with GEMM are involved in a diverse array of functions, including chemotaxis regulation, signal transduction, secretion and chitin. The record is from RNAcentral. Lineage: Bacteria; Pseudomonadati; Pseudomonadota; Gammaproteobacteria; Alteromonadales; Alteromonadaceae.
CACAAAGCCAAACUUGUUGUGAAGCAAGGACGGAAAGCCACGGGCCUUUGAGUUCCAAAGGUGGCCGGGUUAC